AGAGUUUGAUCAUGGCUCAGGAUGAACGCUGGCGGUAUGCCUAACACAUGCAAGUCGAACGGAACCUUCGGGUUUAGUGGCGGACGGGUGAGUAACGCGUGAGAAUCUGCCUUCAGGAUGGGGACAACAGUUGGAAACGACUGCUAAUACCCGAUAUGCAGCGAUGUGAAAGAUUUAUCGCCUGGAGAUGAGCUCGCGUCAGAUUAGCUAGUUGGUGUGGUAAAGGCGCACCAAGGCGACGAUCUGUAGCUGGUCUGAGAGGAUGAGCAGCCACACUGGGACUGAGACACGGCCCAGACUCCUACGGGAGGCAGCAGUGGGGAAUUUUCCGCAAUGGGCGCAAGCCUGACGGAGCAAUACCGCGUGAGGGAGGAAGGCUCUUGGGUCGUAAACCUCUUUUCUCAGGGAAGAACACAAUGACGGUACCUGAGGAAUCAGCAUCGGCUAACUCCGUGCCAGCAGCCGCGGUAAUACGGAGGAUGCAAGCGUUAUCCGGAAUGAUUGGGCGUAAGGCGUCCGUAGGUGGUUUUGUAAGUCUGUGGUUAAAGCGCGAAGCUUAACUUCGUAAGGGCCAUGGAAACUACAAGACUUGAGUAAAGUA
This 601-nucleotide ribosomal RNA is filed under the name uncultured cyanobacterium. RNAcentral's name for it is "bacterial SSU rRNA". It matches the Rfam family "Bacterial small subunit ribosomal RNA", at positions 8 to 653 of the family's 1533-position model. The record is from RNAcentral. Lineage: Bacteria; Bacillati; Cyanobacteriota.